AUUGAACGCUGGCGGCAGGCCUAACACAUGCAAGUCGAGCGAGCGGCGGACGGGUGAGUAAUGUAUGGGGAUCUGCCCGAUGGAGGGGGAUAACUACUGGAAACGGUGGCUAAUACCGCAUACUAUCGGAUGUACCCAUAUGGGAUUAGCUAGUAGGUGGGGUAACGGCUCACCUAGGCGACGAUCCCUAGCUGGUCUGAGAGGAUGCUCAGCAACACUGGAACGGAGACACGGCCCAGACUCCUACGGGAGGCAGCAGUGGGGAAUAUUGCACAAUGGGCGCAAGCCUGAUACAGCCAUGCCGCGUGUAUGAAGAAGGCCUUGGGGUUGUAAAGUACUUUCAGCGGGGAGGCGUUACCCGCAGAAGAAGCACCGGCUAACGCCGUGCCAGCAGCCGCGGUGAUAC
Molecule: ribosomal RNA, 406 nt
Filed under: uncultured bacterium
Lineage: Bacteria
Description: partial 16S ribosomal RNA
Rfam family: Bacterial small subunit ribosomal RNA
Source: RNAcentral